ACUUUCAAACUAUGAUCUGAAGUCA
This 25-nucleotide ribosomal RNA is filed under the name Rhizopus arrhizus. RNAcentral's name for it is "Rhizopus oryzae partial 26S ribosomal RNA". Lineage: Eukaryota; Fungi; Mucoromycota; Mucoromycetes; Mucorales; Rhizopodaceae. The record is from RNAcentral.